AUGUCUUUGGACAGUGAUGUCCUCGCACUGCCCAUUUUUAAGCAAGAAGAGUCAAGCUUGCCUCCCGAUAAUGAGAAUGAAAUUCUGCCUUUUCAGUAUGUACUCUGUGCCGCCACUUCUCCAGCAGUGAAACUCCAUGAUGAAACCCUGACAUAUCUCAAUCAAGGACAAUCUUACGAAAUUCGAAUGCUAGACAAUAGGAAACUUGGAGAACUUCCAGAAAUUAAUGGCAAGUUGGUGAAGAGUAUAUUCCGUGUGGUAUUCCAUGACAGAAGGCUACAGUACACAGAACAUCAGCAACUGGAGGGCUGGAAAUGGAACCGACCAGGAGACAGGAUUCUUGACAUAGAUAUCCCAAUGUCUGUGGGUAUAAUCGAUCCUAGGGCUAAUCCAACCCAACUAAAUACAGUGGAGUUCCUGUGGGACCCUGCAAAGAGGACAUCUGUCUUUAUUCAGGUACAUUGUAUUAGCACAGAGUUCACUAUGAGGAAGCAUGGUGGAGAAAAGGGGGUGCCAUUCCGAGUACAAAUUGAUACCUUCAAGGAAAAUGAAAAUGGGGAAUACACUGAGCACUUACACUCAGCCAGCUGCCAGAUCAAAGUCUUCAAGCAAAAGGUGCAGGACCAGAAAGCAAAAAACAGGAUAGAGAGAAAAAUGGAGAAACGAACACCAACACGAAAGGAGAAUAUACCAACCUUCUUAUGAAAACCAACUAUUCUCACAGAGUGUUCUCCAUGGCCUGAGAUCACAUAUGUCAAUUAA
Castor canadensis (American beaver) is the source of this 762-nucleotide non-coding RNA. The record is from RefSeq and is a predicted model, not a curated record. Lineage: Eukaryota; Metazoa; Chordata; Mammalia; Rodentia; Castoridae.